AAGCUUGAAGAUGAAGAACUCGUGUCCUACAUCCUCACUGGAUUGGAUGUUGAGUUCAAUCCCGUGGUGUCUGCAGUUGCUGCUCAGGUUGAACCCAUCUUGUGGGAGAAUUAUAUAUCCAACUUGUUAGUUUUAAGC
Molecule: small nucleolar RNA, 138 nt
Filed under: Sorghum bicolor (sorghum)
Lineage: Eukaryota; Viridiplantae; Streptophyta; Magnoliopsida; Poales; Poaceae
Description: Small nucleolar RNA Z247
Rfam family: Small nucleolar RNA Z247
About the family: Z247 is a member of the C/D class of snoRNA which contain the C (UGAUGA) and D (CUGA) box motifs. Most of the members of the box C/D family function in directing site-specific 2'-O-methylation of substrate RNAs.
Source: Rfam by way of RNAcentral